RNAcentral lists this unclassified non-coding RNA (200 nucleotides) under soil metagenome. RNAcentral describes it as "partial contains internal transcribed spacer 2 and large subunit ribosomal RNA". The record is from RNAcentral.
AGAUUCACGUCUGCUCCUCUUAAAUAUAUUAGCUGGAUCUCCGUAAGCUCGGUUCCACUCGGCGUGAUAAGUAUCACUCGCUGAGGACACUGUAAAAGGUGGCCGGGAAUGCAGACGAACCGCUUCUAAUCGUCUAUUGACUUAGACAAUUAAAUUUAUGAUCUGAUCUCAAAUCAGGUAGGACUACCCGCUGAACUUAA